RNAcentral lists this ribosomal RNA (520 nucleotides) under uncultured Glomus. RNAcentral's name for it is "SSU rRNA". It matches the Rfam family "Eukaryotic small subunit ribosomal RNA", at positions 569 to 1092 of the family's 1831-position model. The record is from RNAcentral. Lineage: Eukaryota; Fungi; Glomeromycota; Glomeromycetes; Glomerales; Glomeraceae.
AGCAGCCGCGGUAAUUCCAGCUCCAAUAGCGUAUAUUAAAGUUGUUGCAGUUAAAAAGCUCGUAGUUGAAUUUCGGGAUCAAUUUAUUGGUCGUGCUAUUGUACGUACUGGUAUUAUUGAUUCCUACCUUCUGACGAACCAUGAUGUCAUUAAUUUGGUGUCAUGGGGAAUCAGGACUGUUACUUUGAAAAAAUUAGAGUGUUUAAAGCAGGCUCACGCUUGAAUACAUUAGCAUGGAAUAACGAAAUAGGACGUUUGAUUCUAUUUUGUUGGUUUCUAGGAUCGACGUAAUGGUUAAUAGGGAUAGUUGGGGGCAUUAGUAUUCAAUUGUCAGAGGUGAAAUUCUUGGAUUUAUUGAAGACUAACUACUGCGAAAGCAUUUGCCAAGGAUGUUUUCAUUAAUCAAGAACGAAAGUUAGGGGAUCGAAGACGAUCAGAUACCGUCGUAGUCUUAACCAUAAACUAUGCCGACUAGGGAUCGGAUGAUGUUAAUUUUUAAUGACUCAUUCGGCGCCUUAAC